Molecule: ribosomal RNA, 479 nt
Filed under: uncultured prokaryote
Description: partial 16S ribosomal RNA
Source: RNAcentral
CCCUACGGGGUGCAUGGUCUGUGGCUAUCAUGUCGACGGUUCCGUCCGCCAGCCCUUGAAUCAGCGCUUCCCGGUCCUCCAACCCCAUCAAAGGUGGAUUCAUCUUGAACCGGCCUUCGUCUUUUCGAUCGGCUUCCGUGAAUACCAGGUAAUGGGGCGCAGUCUCGCAGGUCACAUCGACGCCUGACUCUUUGGCGGCCCGGAUCAACCGCAGGGACUCUUUGGUGGACACAUGGCAGACAUGGUACCGGCAGCCUGUCUUUUUGCACAGAGCCAGAUCCCUUUCCACCUGUUUCCAUUCGCUCCGACGAAAAUCCCCUUCCGCUGAGAAGUGUUCAUCCUCACAAUGGGCGGCGAUCACUUUGUUGCAUUUUUUUACUGCAUUCAUGGCUUCUUCCAUCCGCUGCGCCUUCUGGAUCCCCGUGCCGUCAUCGCUGAAUCCGGCAACCCAAGGAGCCAGCGCUUCUAUUUCGGAGAGC